UACGUAGGGGGCUAGCGUUGUCCGGAUUUAUUGGGCGUAAAGAGCGUGUAGGUGGCGCCGUAAGUCGGGUGUGAAAUUUCGGAGCUUAACUCCGAAACUGCAUUCGAUACUGCGGUGCUUGAGGACUGGAGAGGAGACUGGAAUUCAUGGUGUAGCAGUGAAAUGCGUAGAGAUCAUGAGGAAGACCAGUGGCGAAGGCGGGUCUCUGGACAGUUCCUGACACUGAGACACGAAGGCCAGGGGAGCAAACGGG
Molecule: ribosomal RNA, 253 nt
Filed under: uncultured bacterium
Lineage: Bacteria
Description: partial 16S ribosomal RNA
Rfam family: Bacterial small subunit ribosomal RNA
Source: RNAcentral